AGACCAGACUCCUACGGGAGGCAGCAGUGGGGAAUAUUGGGCAAUGGAGGAAACUCCUACCCAGCAAUGCCGCGUGAAUGAAGAAGGUCUUCGGAUUGUAAAGUUCUUUAAUUGGGGACGAAAAAAAUGACGGUACCCAAGGAAUAAGCCCCGGCUAACUACGUGCCAGCAGCCGCGGUAAUACGUAGGGGGCAAGCGUUGUUCGGAAUGACUGGGCGUAAAGGGUGCGUAGGCGGGAUUGCAAGUUGGAUGUGAAAACUGCGGGCUCAACCCGGAGCGUGCAUUCAAAACUGCGAUUCUUGAGUGAAGUAGAGGCAAGCGGAAUUCCUAGUGUAGCGGUGAAAUGCGUAGAUAUUAGGAGGAACACCAGUGGCGAAGGCGGCUUGCUGGGCUUUUACUGACGCUGAGGCUCGAAAGUGUGGGGAGCAAACAGGAUUAGAUACCCGCGUA
RNAcentral lists this ribosomal RNA (450 nucleotides) under uncultured bacterium. Its description in RNAcentral is "partial 16S ribosomal RNA". It matches the Rfam family "Bacterial small subunit ribosomal RNA", at positions 328 to 792 of the family's 1533-position model. The record is from RNAcentral.